This 110-nucleotide transfer RNA is filed under the name Candidatus Geothermarchaeota archaeon. Its description in RNAcentral is "tRNA-OTHER". It matches the Rfam family "tRNA". Rfam says of the family: Transfer RNA (tRNA) molecules are approximately 80 nucleotides in length. Their secondary structure includes four short double-helical elements and three loops (D, anti-codon, and T loops). Further hydrogen bonds mediate the characteristic L-shaped molecular structure. tRNAs have two regions of fundamental functional importance: the anti-codon, which is responsible for specific mRNA codon recognition, and the 3' end, to which the tRNAs corresponding amino acid is attached (by aminoacyl-tRNA synthetases). tRNAs cope with the degeneracy of the genetic code in two manners: having more than one tRNA (with a specific anti-codon) for a particular amino acid; and 'wobble' base-pairing, i.e. permitting non-standard base-pairing at the 3rd anti-codon position. Lineage: Archaea; Thermoproteati; Candidatus Geothermarchaeota. RNAcentral also lists the same sequence under 2 other names. The record is from RNAcentral.
GGGCCGGUGGUGUAGCCCGGUCUAGCAUACCGACCCUAAUGAAGGGGUAGAAGCCUGUCGACCGGGUGAUAGAUAGCCGGUGGUCCCGGGUUCGAAUCCCGGCCGGCCCG